AACGAACGCUGGCGGCAUGCCUAACACAUGCAAGUCGAACGAGACCUUCGGGUCCAGUGGCGCACGGGUGCGUAACGCGUGGGAACCUGCCCUUAGGUUCGGAAUAACUCCCCGAAAGGGGUGCUAAUACCGGAUAAUGUCUUCGGACCAAAGAUUUAUCGCCUUUGGAUGGGCCCGCGUAGGAUUAGCUAGUUGGUAGGGUAAAGGCCUACCAAGGCGACGAUCCUUAGCUGGUCUUAGAGGAUGAUCAGCCACACUGGGACUGAGACACGGCCCAGACUCCUACGGGAGGCAGCAGUGGGGAAUAUUGGACAAUAGGCGAAAGCCUGAUCCAGCAAUGCCGCGUGAGUGAUGAAGGCCUUAGGGUUGUAAAGCUCUUUUACCCGGGAUGAUAAUGACAGUACCGGGAGAAUAAGCCCCGGCUAACUCCGUGCCAGCCGCCGCGGUAA
RNAcentral lists this ribosomal RNA (449 nucleotides) under uncultured bacterium. RNAcentral describes it as "partial 16S ribosomal RNA". It matches the Rfam family "Bacterial small subunit ribosomal RNA", at positions 29 to 523 of the family's 1533-position model. The record is from RNAcentral.